This 307-nucleotide long non-coding RNA is filed under the name Musa acuminata (dwarf banana). RNAcentral describes it as "long non-coding RNA (MACU_LNC005472)". The record is from RNAcentral. Lineage: Eukaryota; Viridiplantae; Streptophyta; Magnoliopsida; Zingiberales; Musaceae.
CAUAUAUUAUAAUAACAGACACAAAAAAACUAAGAAAUGUUUGCACUCUUAUAGCCAUCGUUUGUGGAUAACUGGAAAGUGUCACAUGAAACUUCAUACAGGCUGUAGCUACAGUGUUCCUAGCUGGAUCAACAAAUCAAAAACUUCUCUUUGCAAGAUGUUAUUGCUCAAAACCAUCCUCCAUGUUGCAUCCUGGAAUUCUCAUCUGGUUGUUGAUCUGGAUCUUCUUCUUCCUCCUCAUUCUUUUCUUCCUCCUCUUCUUCGUCCUCUUCAGGAGGGUCUUCUGGCAGCGGAGUUGGCAGUGGAG